GGCGUCCCGUUUCGUGAGUGUUUCUUCGUUUCUUUAAGAGCUACCAGAAAGCAGCCCACCCCCACCCCCAUUAAAAAAAAAAAUAAGCGAGUGGGGAAGAGCCAGCCCCACGCCGGUCCGCCUCCCGCCCACGGCUCGGCCUCCCUCCCGCCUGGCUCGGCGCUCCUCCGCCCCGAGUUCUCCAUCCCCUGGAUCCCGGGCUCGCGGGGGCGCGGAGAAGAGGAUCCAGGAAAGCGACAACCACAAAGCUCCCUCUUGCCUGGAAAAAUCUCCCUCUUGCCGGGAAGCAGAAAGAAGAUUCUUCGGUGUGCCCACUCAGCUGGGUCAGUGACGUCCCCUCGGUGAGAAAGUUCUUCCUGGGUUUGGGCACAGUUUGCUCUGCCCACAGGUGGGCAGAUGCUCCUAAGCCCUUCACCUUGUGCUGGACAGCGGGCAGGCUCCACUGCACAGGGCGGGGUUUGGGUUUCUUUCUCAUCACUGAGCCCAGCCUCCAUUUUUUUUUUUUUUUUUUUUAAGGAGGAUGUGAUUUCUACUUUGUUUCUCUUUUUUUGUUACUUCAAAUUGACAUCCUGACCUUGGGCAGAGUAUAGCAGGGAGCUUCCUUUUAUUCUUAUCUUUUUGUUUUGUGUUUUUGUUGUAAACUGUCUAAAACUGUUGGAGAGUUUAAUUUGGAAACAAUGAAGCCAGAUACCACAACACAAGUUUACCCUCAAGACUCUGAGCUCUUAAAAUGCGUAAGAAGGCCCACACCAGGCAUAUUGGACCUUGCCCAUCUACACCUCAGCCCCACAGAGCAAGGUCAGACGCCCACUGGUUUGGACUCCCAUAGGUGGAUGGGGUGGUGGUGUUGAGGCGGAAAGGAAUUAGGGAGAAGAGCAGAGCAGUUUCCAUAAGCAGAAUUUGGGGCUGAGCUUAAGCCACCGCAGCAAGGGGAAGAUGAGCCUGGUGGUUCCAGACAUGUUUUUUUCCCGAAUACUGAGUUAAAACUUUCUAUAUCAGUGAAAUCUAACACUCUGGACACCUUAUUAAAUUGUUGUGUAAAACUAUGGCGAUGGGUUCUGUGAAUUAAAAAAAAAAAU
RNAcentral lists this long non-coding RNA (1079 nucleotides) under Homo sapiens (human). RNAcentral describes it as "HSALNT0385948". The record is from RNAcentral. Lineage: Eukaryota; Metazoa; Chordata; Mammalia; Primates; Hominidae.